This 511-nucleotide ribosomal RNA is filed under the name uncultured bacterium. RNAcentral describes it as "bacterial SSU rRNA". It matches the Rfam family "Bacterial small subunit ribosomal RNA", at positions 501 to 1011 of the family's 1533-position model. The record is from RNAcentral.
CUACGUGCCAGCAGCCGCGGUAAUACAUAUGGGGCGAGCGUUAUCCGGAUUUAUUGGGUGUAAAGGGUGCGUAGGCGGGAAAAUAAGUCAGUAUGUGAAAUCCCUCGGCUCAACUGAGGAACUGCAACUGAAACUAUUUUUCUUGAGUGUUGAAGGGGAAAGUGGAAUUCCUAGUGUAGCGGUGAAAUGCGUAGAGAUUAGGAGGAACACCAGUGGCGAAGGCGACUUUYUGGGCAACAACUGACGCUGAGGCACGAAAGUGUGGGGAGCAAACAGGAUUAGAUACCCUGGUAGUCCACACCGUAAACGAUGGAUACUAGGAGUUGGCAAAAAUAUUGUCGGUUCCGCAGUUAACGCAUUAAGUAUCCCACCUGGGGAGUACGACCGCAAGGUUAAAACUCAAAGGAAUUGACGGGGGCCCGCACAAGCAGUGGAGUAUGUGGUUUAAUUCGAUGCAACGCGAAGAACCUUACCAGGGCUUGACAUAUACAGGAAUAUAUAAGAGAUUAUA